This 480-nucleotide ribosomal RNA is filed under the name uncultured bacterium. RNAcentral describes it as "partial 16S ribosomal RNA". It matches the Rfam family "Bacterial small subunit ribosomal RNA", at positions 30 to 505 of the family's 1533-position model. The record is from RNAcentral.
AUUGAACGCUGGCGGCAUGCUUUACACAUGCAAGUCGAACGGUAACAGCACUUCGGUGGCUGACGAGUGGCGCACGGGUGAGUAAUACAUCGGAACGUGCCUAGUAGUGGGGGAUAACUACUCGAAAGAGUAGCUAAUACCGCAUGAGAUCUAAGGAUGAAAGCAGGGGACCUUCGGGCCUUGCGCUACUAGAGCGGCUGAUGGCAGAUUAGGUAGUUGGUGGGAUAAAAGCUUACCAAGCCGACGAUCUGUAGCUGGUCUGAGAGGACGACCAGCCACACUGGGACUGAGACACGGCCCAGACUCCUACGGGAGGCAGCAGUGGGGAAUUGUGGACAAGGGGCGCAAGCCUGAUCCAGCAAUGCCGCGUGCAGGAUGAAGGCCUUCGGGUUGUAAACUGCUUUUGUACGGAACGAAAAGCCCUCUUCUAAUACAGGAGGGUCAUGACGGUACCGUAAGAAUAAGCACCGGCUAACUACG